This is a long non-coding RNA of Drosophila sechellia, 325 nucleotides long. RefSeq lists it as uncharacterized. NCBI's taxonomy places the organism in Eukaryota, Metazoa, Arthropoda, Insecta, Diptera, Drosophilidae. The transcript has 3 exons. The record is from RefSeq and is a predicted model, not a curated record.
GGGCUCUCGAUGCUAUUCAUCCAUUUCAGAGCCAUGUGGUCCGUUAUCACCUUGAAGUGGUAGCCCUUCAGAGUAGUUCCUCUAUGCUGCCUUCAGCGUUGUGAAGUCGGGGCAUGCCAGGAUUGGGUCGGCGACCAGCCUGGAUUUGACGACCUCGAAUGCAUCUUGGAGACUUCAGCUGCGCUAUUGCCGCUACCUUCUCCGGAUCCGUCUCAAUACCUUGAUCUGUCACGCGUUCGCCGCCCGUAGCCUCCUUCUUUUAAGUUGCGCAUGUGCUCCUGCAGCGUCCGCCCGAUCGUCCUGAUAUGCGAAGGCGUGCGGCAUC